RNAcentral lists this ribosomal RNA (2990 nucleotides) under Salmonella enterica subsp. enterica serovar Typhimurium. RNAcentral describes it as "23S ribosomal RNA". It matches the Rfam family "Bacterial large subunit ribosomal RNA". The record is from RNAcentral. Lineage: Bacteria; Pseudomonadati; Pseudomonadota; Gammaproteobacteria; Enterobacterales; Enterobacteriaceae.
GGUUAAGCGACUAAGCGUACACGGUGGAUGCCCUGGCAGUCAGAGGCGAUGAAGGGCGUGCUAAUCUGCGAUAAGCGCCGGUAAGGUGAUAUGAACCGUUAUAACCGGCGAUACCCGAAUGGGGAAACCCAGUGUGAUUCGUCACACUAUCAUUAACUGAAUCCAUAGGUUAAUGAGGCGAACCGGGGGAACUGAAACAUCUAAGUACCCCGAGGAAAAGAAAUCAACCGAGAUUCCCCCAGUAGCGGCGAGCGAACGGGGAGGAGCCCAGAGCCUGAAUCAGCAUGUGUGUUAGUGGAAGCGUCUGGAAAGGCGCGCGAUACAGGGUGACAGCCCCGUACACAAAAGCGCAUGUGCUGUGAGCUCGAUGAGUAGGGCGGGACACGUGGUAUCCUGUCUGAAUAUGGGGGGACCAUCCUCCAAGGCUAAAUACUCCUGACUGACCGAUAGUGAACCAGUACCGUGAGGGAAAGGCGAAAAGAACCCCGGCGAGGGGAGUGAAAAAGAACCUGAAACCGUGUACGUACAAGCAGUGGGAGCACCCUUUGGGGUGUGACUGCGUACCUUUUGUAUAAUGGGUCAGCGACUUAUAUUCUGUAGCAAGGUUAACCGAAUAGGGGAGCCGGAGGGAAACCGAGUCUUAAUUGGGCGUUAAGUUGCAGGGUAUAGACCCGAAACCCGGUGAUCUAGCCAUGGGCAGGUUGAAGGUUGGGUAACACUAACUGGAGGACCGAACCGACUAAUGUUGAAAAAUUAGCGGAUGACCUGUGGCUGGGGGUGAAAGGCCAAUCAAACCGGGAGAUAGCUGGUUCUCCCCGAAAGCUAUUUAGGUAGCGCCUCGUGAAUUCAUCUCCGGGGGUAGAGCACUGUUUCGGCUAGGGGGCCAUCCCGGCUUACCAACCCGAUGCAAACUGCGAAUACCGGAGAAUGUUAUCACGGGAGACACACGGCGGGUGCUAACGUCCGUCGUGAAGAGGGAAACAACCCAGACCGCCAGCUAAGGUCCCAAAGUCAUGGUUAAGUGGGAAACGAUGUGGGAAGGCCCAGACAGCCAGGAUGUUGGCUUAGAAGCAGCCAUCAUUUAAAGAAAGCGUAAUAGCUCACUGGUCGAGUCGGCCUGCGCGGAAGAUGUAACGGGGCUAAACCAUGCACCGAAGCUGCGGCAGCGAACGUAUCACCCAAGACAACUUUACGGAGUUGACGAUUGACGGAGCGAAGCGACGUCAAAGCGUUCAUUAAAGUCGAGUUGGCUUAGGGAUACGUUCGUUGGGUAGGGGAGCGUUCUGUAAGCCUGUGAAGGUGUGUCGUGAGGCAUGCUGGAGGUAUCAGAAGUGCGAAUGCUGACAUAAGUAACGAUAAAGCGGGUGAAAAGCCCGCUCGCCGGAAGACCAAGGGUUCCUGUCCAACGUUAAUCGGGGCAGGGUGAGUCGACCCCUAAGGCGAGGCCGAAAGGCGUAGUCGAUGGGAAACGGGUUAAUAUUCCCGUACUUGGUGUUACUGCGAAGGGGGGACGGAGAAGGCUAUGUUGGCCGGGCGACGGUUGUCCCGGUUUAAGCGUGUAGGUGUGUGUUCCAGGUAAAUCCGGUUCACUUUAACACUGAGGCGUGACGACGAGGCACUACGGUGCUGAAGCAACAAAUGCCCUGCUUCCAGGAAAAGCCUCUAAGCAUCAGGUAACAUCAAAUCGUACCCCAAACCGACACAGGUGGUCAGGUAGAGAAUACCAAGGCGCUUGAGAGAACUCGGGUGAAGGAACUAGGCAAAAUGGUGCCGUAACUUCGGGAGAAGGCACGCUGACACGUAGGUGAAGUGAUUUACUCAUGGAGCUGAAGUCAGUCGAAGAUACCAGCUGGCUGCAACUGUUUAUUAAAAACACAGCACUGUGCAAACACGAAAGUGGACGUAUACGGUGUGACGCCUGCCCGGUGCCGGAAGGUUAAUUGAUGGGGUCAGCGCAAGCGAAGCUCCUGAUCGAAGCCCCGGUAAACGGCGGCCGUAACUAUAACGGUCCUAAGGUAGCGAAAUUCCUUGUCGGGUAAGUUCCGACCUGCACGAAUGGCGUAAUGAUGGCCAGGCUGUCUCCACCCGAGACUCAGUGAAAUUGAACUCGCUGUGAAGAUGCAGUGUACCCGCGGCAAGACGGAAAGACCCCGUGAACCUUUACUAUAGCUUGACACUGAACAUUGAGCCUUGAUGUGUAGGAUAGGUGGGAGGCUUUGAAGUGUGGACGCCAGUCUGCAUGGAGCCGACCUUGAAAUACCACCCUUUAAUGUUUGAUGUUCUAACGUGGACCCGUAAUCCGGGUUGCGGACAGUGUCUGGUGGGUAGUUUGACUGGGGCGGUCUCCUCCUAAAGAGUAACGGAGGAGCACGAAGGUUGGCUAAUCCUGGUCGGACAUCAGGAGGUUAGUGCAAUGGCAUAAGCCAGCUUGACUGCGAGCGUGACGGCGCGAGCAGGUGCGAAAGCAGGUCAUAGUGAUCCGGUGGUUCUGAAUGGAAGGGCCAUCGCUCAACGGAUAAAAGGUACUCCGGGGAUAACAGGCUGAUACCGCCCAAGAGUUCAUAUCGACGGCGGUGUUUGGCACCUCGAUGUCGGCUCAUCACAUCCUGGGGCUGAAGUAGGUCCCAAGGGUAUGGCUGUUCGCCAUUUAAAGUGGUACGCGAGCUGGGUUUAGAACGUCGUGAGACAGUUCGGUCCCUAUCUGCCGUGGGCGCUGGAGAACUGAGGGGGGCUGCUCCUAGUACGAGAGGACCGGAGUGGACGCAUCACUGGUGUUCGGGUUGUCAUGCCAAUGGCACUGCCCGGUAGCUAAAUGCGGAAGAGAUAAGUGCUGAAAGCAUCUAAGCACGAAACUUGCCCCGAGAUGAGUUCUCCCUGAGACUUUAGGUCUCCUGAAGGAACGUUGAAGACGACGACGUUGAUAGGCCGGGUGUGUAAGCGCAGCGAUGCGUUGAGCUAACCGGUACUAAUGAACCGUGAGGCUUAACCUU